Molecule: ribosomal RNA, 468 nt
Filed under: uncultured bacterium
Lineage: Bacteria
Description: partial 16S ribosomal RNA
Rfam family: Bacterial small subunit ribosomal RNA
Source: RNAcentral
GACGAACGCUGGCGGCGUGCUUAACACAUGCAAGUCGAACGGAAAGGCCCUGCUUUUGUGGGGUGCUCGAGUGGCGAACGGGUGAGUAACACGUGAGUAACCUGCCCUUGACUUUGGGAUAACUUCAGGAAACUGGGGCUAAUACCGGAUAGGAGCUCCUGCUGCAUGGUGGGGGUUGGAAAGUUUCGGCGGUUGGGGAUGGACUCGCGGCUUAUCAGCUUGUUGGUGGGGUAGUGGCUUACCAAGGCUUUGACGGGUAGCCGGCCUGAGAGGGUGACCGGCCACAUUGGGACUGAGAUACGGCCCAGACUCCUACGGGAGGCAGCAGUGGGGAAUAUUGCACAAUGGGCGGAAGCCUGAUGCAGCAACGCCGCGUGCGGGAUGACGGCCUUCGGGUUGUAAACCGCUUUCGCCUGUGACGAAGCGUGAGUGACGGUAAUGGGUAAAGAAGCAGGGGCUAACUACGUG